RNAcentral lists this long non-coding RNA (634 nucleotides) under Mytilus galloprovincialis (Mediterranean mussel). The record is from RNAcentral. Lineage: Eukaryota; Metazoa; Mollusca; Bivalvia; Mytilida; Mytilidae.
GGGUUAUUCUGUGUUUCUUGCCAAGUGGUUGACCUUUCCUGACCCAACACACAAACUGACGAUAAGCCAUAAGCCUGCUUUGUCUGUUAGUAAGUUCGUCUGGAGCUCUCCCUCUAUGGCGCUUGUAUCUCAGGAAACUUAUGUAGCUUGUUUCAAGAACAACGGGGUUUAGACAAACUAUUCUAAAAUCUGUAUUUUCAGUGACACAUUCACCCAAAUUCAUUUUUUCUUCUAAUAGCGUAAAUUCGUGGCAGCAGAAACACUCCGCCGGCAAUGGCAUGACUAUACAGUUUUUACAUGAACACCAAUUGGUGUCAAACUUGCGAGGAUUAUUUAAAAUAUCCUGUUGUCUAGAAGUUUCUUCAGCUUCAAUUUGUUGGAGUUCUUCUUCAGUGUACUCCGGUUCUAAUAUGUACCCAAAUUGACCACACUCGUCAAAAUUGGUCUCACUUUGGGAGCUGGAUACAUCAGAACUUUCACUCUCUGAACUAGACAUUUUAGCUUAUAGUAUAGAUUUAUUAAAAAGGCUUAUAUAUCAAACUUUUUUCUUUUUACAAAAACAACCACGCUCCAAUCAUUAGAAAACAAGGGAUUGAGAAAAAGUUAAUUGAUUAAGUUAAUUCGACGUCUUUUG